GANGNGAGUCUGACCGAGCACGCCGCGUGAGUGAAGAAGGUUUUCGGAUCGUAAAACUCUGUUGUUAGAGAAGAAUGUUGAUUAGAGUGGAAAAUUAAUCAAGUGACGGUAUCUAACCAGAAAGGGACGGCUAACUACGUGCCAGCAGCCGCGGUAAUACGUAGGUCCCGAGCGUUGUCCGGAUUUAUUGGGCGUAAAGCGAGCGCAGGUGGUUUAAUAAGUCUGAUGUAAAAGGCAGUGGCUCAACCAUUGUGUGCAUUGGAAACUGUUAGACUUGAGUGCAGUAGAGGAGAGUGGAAUUCCAUGUGUAGCGGUGAAAUGCGUAGAUAUAUGGAGGAACACCGGUGGCGAAAGCGGCUCUCUGGACUGUCACUGACACUGAGGCUCGAAAGCGUGGGUAGCAAACAGGAUUAGAUACCCUGGUAGUCCACGCCGUAAACGAUGAGUGCUAGUUGUUUGGGGCUAUCCAGCCCUAAGUGACGCAGCAAACGCAUUAAGCACUCCGCCUGGGGAGUACGACCGCAAGGUUGAAACUCAAAGGAAUUGACGGGGGCCCGCACAAGCGGUGGAGCAUGUGGUUUAAUUCGAAGCAACGCGAAGAACCUUACCAGGUCUUGACAUACUCGUGCUAUUCCUAGAGAUAGGAAGUUCCUUCGGGACACGGGAUACAGGUGGUGCAUGGUUGUCGUCAGCUCGUGUCGUGAGAUGUUGGGUUAAGUCCCGCAACGAGCGCAACCCUUAUUGUUAGUUGCCAUCAUUAAGUUGGGCACUCUAGCGAGACUGCCGGUAAUAAACCGGAGGAAGGUGGGGAUGACGUCAAAUCAUCAUGCCCCUUAUGACCUGGGCUACACACGUGCUACAAUGGUUGGUACAACGAGUCGCAAGACAGUGAUGUCAAGCUANUCUCUUAAAGCCNAU
RNAcentral lists this ribosomal RNA (918 nucleotides) under uncultured bacterium. Its description in RNAcentral is "bacterial SSU rRNA". It matches the Rfam family "Bacterial small subunit ribosomal RNA", at positions 374 to 1286 of the family's 1533-position model. The record is from RNAcentral.